ACGAACGCUGGCGGCGUGCUUAACACAUGCAAGUCGAACGGAAAGGCCCCUUUGGGGGUACUCGAGUGGCGAACGGGUGAGUAACACGUGAGUAACCUGCCCUUGACUUCGGGAUAACUUCAGGAAACUGGGGCUAAUACCGGAUAGGAAUCCUUGCUGCAUGGUGGGGGUUGGAAAGCUUCGGCGGUUUUGGAUGGACUCGCGGCUUAUCAGCUUGUUGGUGGGGUGGUGGCUUACCAAGGCUUUGACGGGUAGCCGGCCUGAGAGGGCGACCGGCCACAUUGGGACUGAGAUACGGCCCAGACUCCUACGGGAGGCAGCAGUGGGGAAUAUUGCACAAUGGGCGGAAGCCUGAUGCAGCAACGCCGCGUGCGGGAUGACGGCCUUCGGGUUGUAAACCGCUUUCAGCAGGGGCGAAGCUUGUGGUGACGGUACCUGCAGAAGAAGCACCGGCUAACUACGUG
This 464-nucleotide ribosomal RNA is filed under the name uncultured bacterium. RNAcentral's name for it is "partial 16S ribosomal RNA". It matches the Rfam family "Bacterial small subunit ribosomal RNA", at positions 29 to 507 of the family's 1533-position model. The record is from RNAcentral.